AACGUAGGAGACAAACGUUAUCCGGAGUUACUGGGCGUAAAGGGCGUGUAGGCGGUAUGUUAAGUCUGGCGUGAAAGCUCUCGGCUAAACCGGGAGAGGUCGUUGGAUACUGGCAAACUAGAGGAUGGUAGAGGCGUGUGGAAUUCCGGGUGUAGUGGUGAAAUGCGUAGAGAUCCGGAGGAACACCAGUGGCGAAGGCGACACACUGGGCCAUACCUGACGCUAAAGCGCGACAGCAUGGGGAGCAAACGGG
This 253-nucleotide ribosomal RNA is filed under the name uncultured bacterium. RNAcentral's name for it is "partial 16S ribosomal RNA". It matches the Rfam family "Bacterial small subunit ribosomal RNA", at positions 524 to 776 of the family's 1533-position model. The record is from RNAcentral.